GCCUCCUAGGUUCAAGCAGUUCUCCUGCCUCAGCCUCCUGAGUAGCUGGGAUUACAGGCACUUGGAGAUUCACAUGCCCAACACAUCUGAUACACUUAACAACUAUGGAAACACGAGUGGAAAAUGUCUGUUUGUAGGAUCAAGAGAGAACUUUCACCAUGUAAAGACGAAGGGACAGAGAACAGGGUGAGCAGAGGAUGUUGAAAACUGAAAGCAAACAGGAAAGGACAGCAGGAAAGAAAGGCAACAGAUGAACAUUAAGCUGCCAUGCUGAGGAAUUUAUUUGCGUCUUUUACUUGGUUGAAUGCGGAGUUGUUGCACGGCAGCUUCGGCAGCAGCUAUGGCAGCCCCUGCAUCUU
Non-coding RNA from Macaca mulatta (Rhesus monkey), 359 nucleotides. Lineage: Eukaryota; Metazoa; Chordata; Mammalia; Primates; Cercopithecidae. The record is from RefSeq and is a predicted model, not a curated record.